RNAcentral lists this ribosomal RNA (468 nucleotides) under uncultured bacterium. RNAcentral describes it as "partial 16S ribosomal RNA". It matches the Rfam family "Bacterial small subunit ribosomal RNA", at positions 28 to 507 of the family's 1533-position model. The record is from RNAcentral.
GACGAACGCUGGCGGCGUGCUUAACACAUGCAAGUCGAACGGAAAGGCCCUGCUUUUGUGGGGUGCUCGAGUGGCGAACGGGUGAGUAACACGUGAGUAACCUGCCCUUGACUUUGGGAUAACUUCAGGAAACUGGGGCUAAUCCCGGAUAGGAGCUCCUGCUGCAUGGUGGGGGUUGGAAAGUUUCGGCGGUUGGGGAUGGACUCGCGGCUUAUCGGCUUGUUGGUGGGGUAGUGGCUUACCAAGGCUUUGACGGGUAGCCGGCCUGAGAGGGGGACCGGCCAAAUUGGGACUGAGAUACGGCCCAGACUCCUACGGGACGCAGCAGUGGGGAAUAGUGCACAAUGGGCGGAAGCCUGAUGCAGCAACGCCGCGUGCGGGAUGACGUCAUUCGGGUUGUAAACCGAUUUCGCCUGUGACGAAGCGUGAGUGACGGUAAUGGGUAAAGAAGCACCGGCUAACUACGUG